RNAcentral lists this ribosomal RNA (306 nucleotides) under Triticum aestivum (bread wheat). RNAcentral describes it as "partial small subunit ribosomal RNA". Lineage: Eukaryota; Viridiplantae; Streptophyta; Magnoliopsida; Poales; Poaceae. The record is from RNAcentral.
AUGGUUACCCAUCUCCUCUUUGCGGAUGACAACAUUAUCUUUCUUGAAGGAUCAGAGGAAAAUCUCCUCACUCUCAAAUCGAUCUUGGGGGAUUAUGAGAUGGCGUCGGGGCAGAAAGUAAACAUGCAAAAGUCGGCCAUAUUUUUCGGGAAGGGGAGUUCGGAUGAGAGCAAAGAGCAGCUUAAGGCGGUCAUCGGAAUCAAUUCAGAAGCAUUGAGUGAGAAAUAUUUGGGUCUACCUACUGCGGUGGGCAAGUCCAAAGAUGGUACUUUCAAAUAUGUUCGGGAGAGUGCAAAGGGAAAAGUC